Molecule: ribosomal RNA, 449 nt
Filed under: uncultured bacterium
Lineage: Bacteria
Description: partial 16S ribosomal RNA
Rfam family: Bacterial small subunit ribosomal RNA
Source: RNAcentral
AACGAACGCUGGCGGCAUGCCUAACACAUGCAAGUCGAACGAGACCUUCGGAUCUAGCGGCGCACGGGUGCGUAACGCGUGGGAAUCUACCCUUGGGUUCGGAAUAACAGUUAGAAAUGACUGCUAAUACCGGAUGAUGACGUAAGUCCAAAGAUUUAUCGCCCAAGGAUGAGCCCGCGUAAGAUUAGCUUGUUGGUGGGGUAAUGGCCUACCAAGGCGACGACCUUUAGCUGGUCUGAGAGGAUGAUCAGCCACACUGGGACUGAGACACGGCCCAGACUCCUACGGGAGGCAGCAGUGGGGAAUAUUGGACAAUGGGCGAAAGCCUGAUCCAGCAAUGCCGCGUGAGUGAUGAAGGCCUUAGGGUUGUAAAGCUCUUUUACCAGGGAUGAUAAUGACAGUACCUGGAGAAUAAGCUCCGGCUAACUCCGUGCCAGCAGCCGCCGUAA